CGAGGAGGCAGGAGCACACGGGCAGGGACAGGAAUGUGUGAAGAAGCAAGGCCCGGUGCAGGCUGUGGAAUGGCACCAGCUUUGCCCGUAUGUGCAGAAGACUCGAACCUACCCAGUCCCACCGUAUGCACAUGUCGUUUGUAUGUGCCGCUCUCUAAGCCUAAUUUGACACACUUAUUCACAAAGGGCAUAUGAGGAACAAAAUUCACGGAAACGGAUAUGCAAAAUUAUGAAGAGGAAGAGAAAGCAAAUGCAGUAAAACAGGGGCUUGAGAAGAAUCUUUUCAGCAGCUUUCAAGUUUCCUGCAGUCUGCUGUUAAGAAGCUUCAGUUUUCCUGAUAGAGCCACGGGAUCCCAGCUAGCAUCCGGUCAGUUUCUAUAUCGAAUAUUUGGGACCAUAUGUUAUAUACACCUAUCUCCAGACUGGUUUCUUCAUAAGACAAAAUGAAUUUAAGUUUGCUAUCUCCUUUUGAAGACUAGAACCAUUUGACUCUACUGGCGGACUCUGCCAGAUUGGUGCCCAGACGUGGGACUUGAGAUACAGGGAAUCAGUGAAGAACACCAUGGGUGUUGGUGAGCUCGAAUCAUAAACAAAAAGGGUGAGGUGAGUAAAUCCAAGAAUAAAAAUGGGACAGGGCAGUAGCCUAAUGUUUUUUGUAUGGAACUUAAUUAAAGGUAGUCUGUAUAUGAGGCAGGAAACUGAGAAAGUUAAACUUUCAGGCUUAGAGAGGAAGAGGUUAAAAAGAUGGGAGGCUUCAAGACAAAAUGAUAUUAGACCAUCAGCUCCUCCAGAGGAGUUGUAUUUCCCUCCUGAUGAUAGUAAUUUCUUGUCAGAGGAAGAUUUUGAGGAUGUCUUAGAUCCUGAUGAGGUUACAGAGUUGGAGGAAGAACCAGACCAGUAUUAUUCUGAGAGAUUCCCUCCGAUUCAGACUAUGCAUGUUAAAAAGCAUAAGCCUUGGCAAAAAGAAAUUAAAAGAUUGGAAUGGGGCUUGGAGGAAAUAAACAGAAAAAUUAGAGAAUUAACUACUAGGGAAAAUGAGGCUCAAUCCCCCACUCCAACUCCAUCAGUGGUUGCAGGCUUGGACCCUCCUCCUGGGACUGCUACAGUAGCAGUGGCCCAAAAGACAAGGGGACCUUUUCCUUUGUCCACUGUAUGGGCAACUUUAUCACUCUUACAAGCUUCUUUACAAGAAGCUAGACAUAAUGGAGAAGAUAUAUCUGAGUUUUAUGGUUUUCCAGUUCUAGAGCAGCCUGAUGGACAAGAUAAUAUGGCGAGAGUCCAUGCUCCUAUACCUUUUAAACAAUUAAAAGAAUUGAAAUCUGCAAGCUCUCAAUAUGGUCCAAAGCACCUUUUACUCAAGCUCUGCUGGAGUCCCUGUCUACUGAGGCCCUCUGUCCAGGGGACUGGAAGCAAUUUGCAAAAAAAUGUUUAGCAAGAAAAGAUCAUUUGUUAUGGAAGUUAGAAUUUACUGAGCAGUGUUAAGCUAAGACUAAAAUCACUUGAGAAAAAAAAAAAAAGACAGCUUCUCAGGUUUUCCAGUAAAAAGAAAAGCAAAACAAAACAAAAAACUAAUGGUUAAUUCUGCUACAAAGCUUCAGUGGUCAUAAAAAUCAAAUUCAACAAGUAACAAGAGGUUUUAUCUGUCUGUCUUGAAGGUAUAAGUUUACCAUAUUCAGUAUGUCUUGGUUAUAGAUUAUUGGUCAUUGUGUAUGUUUAAAAUCUAUAGCAUAAAGUUAGCUAAAAACCUAGGUUUAGAACCAUUCUAAACAACAAAUGGAUGUUACUCAUAUCCCAAAAUUUAAAAAACUAAAAUGUUUUGCUACAAUUGGUAUUUCUCCCUUUAUAAAGACUAAUAAUGGUACUACAUAUAUUAGUCAAGCUUUUCAACAUUUAAAAAAAUCAUAAACAGGUAUGCCGUAUAAUCCUUAAGGCUAAAAAGUUAUGGAGCCUUCACAUGGAUCUCUUAAGAGCCAAUUGCAAAAAAUAAAAAAGGGGAGUCAUAUCUCCAAAUCUUAAUCAUGUUCUCUUUAUUUUAAUUUUUUUUUGAAUGUGGAUAUACAAGGCCAUCUAUUGUGGCAUCCUAAUACCAAAGAUAAUUAUGCCCAAGUAAAAUGGGAAGAUCCGAUUACUGGAAUAUGGCAGGACCCUGACCCUAUAUUAAUAUGGGGAAGAGGAUAUGUUUGUGUUUUUCAACAGGACGCAGAAGGAGCCAGGUGGAUCCCAGAAAGGCUGAUGUAAUUGGCAGGAGAUGUUCCCCAGAAAGAAGAUGUUCCCGCUGCAGACAAUCGUGAAUUCUGUCCUGACUGAGAACAGAAAGCUGCAUUGGACUUAAGCUCCUGACCCACCUCUGUUUCAUUCUGCUCCUGGGAGAAGACAUCAUGCAGAGAAACCUCUUAUACAAUGGACUGGACCUAAUUGUUCUGUUAAUGAGGACAAUUCUUAACAAAAUCAGGAAGAAGGAAAAAGAGCACUGACUAUGAAACUUUGGUCUGGUUCUGGUUUUCAGCAGACCAAAAUGAGCUUGCUUCAAAAACUCUUGGGAGGCCCUGGAACUACCUAUGUAAAUUCUCCUUUUGCUUUGUUGUUUGGAAAUGUUACAAGAUUCAACUUUAAUGUUUCUUGCCAUCAAUGUAAACUAACAAACUGUAUUUGUAAGCUUUCAAAUGGUUCUGACUGCUCGACAGCCUUUUACUAUGGUUUCUGUGAAUGUUUCUCAGACCUGGUGUUUACACAAGGAGUCAUUUGUUAAGUCACUUUUUUGGAGUGUUAUUUUGGACUUGGCUUGUGAUAGGGGAUGCACUCCUAUCAGUGACAAUUAAAACCUUCCUAAAGGCCUUUUAGAAUGUUAAAGCUGAGCUGAUCUGCAUAAGACUAAACCCCAGUGUCUACCCUAGCAGAGGUUGGUAGUCAAUGACAGGUAGUAUUUCUCUGGGAUAUAUUCAACCUAAGGCAGGGCAUAAAUGAUGGAAUUCAUGUACCAAUGACAGGUAAGAAUAUAUCUUACGAGAGAGAUAGCCUGAGAAAGGUACAAUCUUCUGCUCCAUAACUCUUAAGUUAUGGUCAAUUUUUUUAAAAAAUAAAAAAGGGAGACCUGUUGGGAGCUGCUGUUCUAGCAGCUGCUUUGAUAUUUAAAUCUCAGCAGAAAGAUUGCUUUUACCAGGACUUCACUGGUGUCAGGGAAGAAUUUCCAAGUCUAUCUCCUUUUCUUUGUGACACCAGGUGGAAUGCUUUGUCAAAAAUCACACCUCUUGUUUCACCUCCUUGUGAAUUUAACUCAUUGUGCUGAGCUGCUUUUACUCUGGUUUGAAAGCAGUCUGAAAUAAAACAAGGUGUCCAGUCUCUACUAGAGCCUCUUGGAAAGGU
Meriones unguiculatus (Mongolian gerbil) is the source of this 3363-nucleotide long non-coding RNA. RefSeq lists it as uncharacterized. Lineage: Eukaryota; Metazoa; Chordata; Mammalia; Rodentia; Muridae. The record is from RefSeq and is a predicted model, not a curated record. The transcript has 3 exons.